RNAcentral lists this ribosomal RNA (523 nucleotides) under Ptychadena grandisonae. RNAcentral's name for it is "partial large subunit ribosomal RNA". It matches the Rfam family "Bacterial large subunit ribosomal RNA", at positions 1912 to 2605 of the family's 2925-position model. The record is from RNAcentral. Lineage: Eukaryota; Metazoa; Chordata; Amphibia; Anura; Ptychadenidae.
CUGAAAAUUCAACGGCCGCGGUACUCUGACCGUGCAAAGGUAGCACAAUCACUUGUUCUUUAAAUAAGGACUAGAAUCAAUGGCAUCACGAGGGUCCUACUGUCUCCUUUUUCUAAUCAGUGAAACUGAUCUCCCCGUGAAGAAGCGGGGAUAACUUUAUAAGACGAGAAGACCCCAUGGAGCUUCAAACUCAAUAGUUAACUCAUGUAAGCCACAUGACAACUAAGAGAGAUAACUAUUAAUUUUGGGUUGGGGUGACCACGGAGAAUAACACAACCUCCAUAAUGAAAAGAAUAGUACCUUUAUACAUGAGUCACAUCUCUAAGAAUUAGCAAACUAACAUAAAAUGAUCCGAUAUAUCAUUCGAUCAAUGAACCAAGUUACCCUGGGGAUAACAGCGCCAUCCACUUUGAGAGUUCAUAUCGACAAGUGGGUUUACGACCUCGAUGUUGGAUCAGGGUACCCCAGUGGUGCAGCCGCUACUAAAGGUUCGUUUGUUCAACGAUUAAAACCCUACGUGAUC